CGUUUACGUAAGAAAUUGUUGUUAAAAUUGUCAAUUGGAUCUUAAGAAACUCAUAGAAACUUUAUUAGAAUCGCCGGUAGCGCUGUUGUGUAAUUAACAGCUGUUUGUUGACGACGUGAAGUUAAAAUUGAACAACGGUUUGCUUGAAAAACAUUCAAUGAAGGUCGUGACGUCAUCGAAGAUUUGCUUCAAACCAGUGGUUCAUCCACUUCUGCUAUAGUCGAUAACAUCGAAAAAAUGUAAGAAAUAGUGCUUAAAAGUCGUUGUGUUGGCACCAGAGGCUUUCAACAUCUCUUAUAGAUCGACUCCAAAAAUUUUGGUUAAUGUUUUGGGUAUGGUGUGCAUUCAAUGACAGUCUGGUACGAAAAUACCUGAAUCUUUUGCGAAAACCACGUGGAGAAGAGGCUGAAGACCUUACAUUAUUCAAACACAUCGUUGCUGGUGUCGAGUCUAGUGAGCAGAGGGAAUGGAAUGCGCGGCAAAAAUUAGCGCAAGCCGAAAAAAAAACAAAAUUCGUUAAAGGCCAUCUCAACCAGGACAUUAAACAAGUGUAUGGAAAAUAAUAGCAGUGUUACUCGCUCGAGAGUCUAUAUUGAAGGCGACAAUAAAGAUUUGUACAUAAAUACGGUUUUUUUGUCAGUCCAGGUGAACUUUAAUCAAAUGGUAUUAUUAAUAUAUGAUUGAUUUUUUUUAGAUUGUUUUGAUUUUUUCACCGAUAAUGAUUAAUUUUUCGUAAUUCUAUAAUUACAUUUUAGCAAAACUAAUGUCUAAAAGAAGAUCAUAUUUAUAUUUUAGUUUUUUGUUUGCUCAAAAUAAAACUCGCUAUAUAUGUAAUUACAUAUAUUUUUGAAGUUUUUUUUUUAACUUUUGUUGCAUAUUAUUUUAGAACAAAUGUAAAGCAUGACACAAUUCCGAUUUCUUUGGCGCCGCGAUUUGAAGGUACCUUUGGAAAGAGGAAGUCCUCCUGAUUAAAAAAUAUAUAGGGUUAUAGGUACCGCAAACGCUUAGUUUACGAGAUAUUCGACCUUAAAGUUCAAAAAUUCCCAAAAUUCGAACAUUUCAACAAGCUAUUUUACCACAUUAAACACACUUUACUCACAUUUUUCAUUUCAAAUUAAUUAAAUUAAACUAUAAACUUUUAAAUAAAUCCAUAUUUUACACUUUUAACAGUCUUUUUACCGAGGAAAUCUUUAUUUUAGAAAUUACAUCUUACACUCGUAGUGAACAUCAUGUGUGUGCUAAAAAUUACGACGAAAUGGAGCGCUGCCAUGUGAUAAUAAGGAAAUUGUUCUUUAUUUAAUUUAAUAAACAAAUAAGCAAUAUUAUAUAAUAAUAUUAUAUACAUAUACAAUAAACAUCACCUAAUAUACAAAAAAACGUAUUAUCAAAAAUAAAUGGUAAGCGCUGACAGAUAUAAUAACCAAAAUUUAACCAUUUUAUAACGAAAACUCAAAUAUUGUUUCAAUAUCAGUGCAAGAUAACCAAAAAAUAUAACCACUUUAUAACGAAACUCAA
This is a long non-coding RNA of Bactrocera neohumeralis, 1515 nucleotides long. RefSeq lists it as uncharacterized. The transcript has 2 exons. Lineage: Eukaryota; Metazoa; Arthropoda; Insecta; Diptera; Tephritidae. The record is from RefSeq and is a predicted model, not a curated record.